Molecule: long non-coding RNA, 622 nt
Organism: Paramacrobiotus metropolitanus
Lineage: Eukaryota; Metazoa; Tardigrada; Eutardigrada; Parachela; Macrobiotidae
Exons: 3
Source: RefSeq, a predicted model, not a curated record
CAAUGGUAAUUACAGUAGGUCGACAAAACCGCAGCAAAUCAACAUUACAAAAUCAAUUAGUAACUAUUAAAGUCAGAACAUCAACAGCAUUAAAUACAUAUUCCGACUGCCCCAUCUCCCACUGGUUGGAAGGAGAACUGCCAAUAAAUGACUGCCGCGACAAGUCGUAGGAGGGAGUUCACGAAAGGCUUAACGCGUCGCGCUCGUUGGCAGAGGCAGGGUUCAUAUAUUCGGCCACAUGCUUUGCAACGUGUUUCCACUGCAAGCGCACUCUGUCGGACGACUGGGAGGAUGGGAUGGAUGCGUGGAAAAAGCACGUGUACCUCAAUCCAUUCUGCGGAUACGUGAGGGCCAUGCGCGGGCGGGCGUGGGUGGACCGUGUGUACGACCUGGCAUGGGGAGGAGCCCAGCCUUUGGAUUGGUGGACGUAGACAUUUAAGUGUUUUCGACCAAUUGUGUGCGUUUGAAAGCGCUUUUGUACGUCUAACUGUUGUUUUUUUUUAUGCGCAAACAUGUAUUCAGUGCUUGAUAGUGAUCCACGUUUUAAGGCAUGCUUUGGCUGUUGUGUAUGCGGACCGACUAUGUCGGGAAAAAGUGAAUUUGUGUUUAAUUUAAUUAAAAA